Schistosoma margrebowiei is the source of this 44-nucleotide non-coding RNA. The record is from Rfam. Lineage: Eukaryota; Metazoa; Platyhelminthes; Trematoda; Strigeidida; Schistosomatidae.
ACCUACUGACGAGUCCUAAAUAGGACGAAACAAGCGUCCUGGAU